UUGUUGAUAUUUUGAUUGAGCAUGAACGGACUCAUAAUCCGUUGGUCGACAGUUCAAGUCUGUCUGGGCCCACCA
Molecule: transfer RNA, 75 nt
Filed under: Acinetobacter sp. 10FS3-1
Lineage: Bacteria; Pseudomonadati; Pseudomonadota; Gammaproteobacteria; Moraxellales; Moraxellaceae
Description: tRNA-Met
Source: RNAcentral